RNAcentral lists this transfer RNA (69 nucleotides) under Bos taurus (domestic cattle). It matches the Rfam family "tRNA". From Rfam's summary of the family: Transfer RNA (tRNA) molecules are approximately 80 nucleotides in length. Their secondary structure includes four short double-helical elements and three loops (D, anti-codon, and T loops). Lineage: Eukaryota; Metazoa; Chordata; Mammalia; Artiodactyla; Bovidae. The record is from Rfam by way of RNAcentral. RNAcentral also lists the same sequence under 4 other names.
CCUGGUAGCUCAAUCGGUAAAGAAUCUGCCUGCAGUGCAGAAGACCCAGGUUUGAUCCCUGGGUCAGGA